AGACCCGAAACCCGGUGAUCUAGCCAUGGGCAGGUUGAAGGUUGGGUAACACUAACUGGAGGACCGAACCGACUAAUGUUGAAAAAUUAGCGGAUGACCUGUGGCUGGGGGUGAAAGGCCAAUCAAACCGGGAGAUAGCUGGUUCUCCCCGAAAGCUAUUUAGGUAGCGCCUCGUGAAUUCAUCUCCGGGGGUAGAGCACUGUUUCGGCCAGGGGGCCAUCCCGGCUUACCAAUCCGAUGCAAACUGCGAAUACCGGAGAAUGUUAUCACGGGAGACACACGGCGGGUGCUAACGUCCGUCGUGAAGAGGGAAACAACCCAGACCGCCAGCUAAGGUCCCAAAGUCAUGGUUAAGUGGGAAACGAUGUGGGAAGGCCCAGACAGCCAGGAUGUUGGCUUAGAAGCAGCCAUCAUUUAAAGAAAGCGUAAUAGCUCACUGGUCGAGUCGGCCUGCGCGGAAGAUGUAACGGGGCUAAACCAUGCACCGAAGCUGCGGCAGCGAACGUAUCACCCAAGACAACUUUACACAGUUGACGACUGACGGAGCGAAGCGACGUCAAAGCGUUUUACAACGUCGAGUUGGCUUAGGGAUACGUUCGUUGGGUAGGGGAGCGUUCUGUAAGCCGUUGAAGGUGGCCUGUGAGGGUUGCUGGAGGUAUCAGAAGUGCGAAUGCUGACAUAAGUAACGAUAAAGCGGGUGAAAAGCCCGCUCGCCGGAAGACCAAGGGUUCCUGUCCAACGUUAAUCGGGGCAGGGUGAGUCGACCCCUAAGGCGAGGCCGAAAGGCGUAGUCGAUGGGAAACGGGUUAAUAUUCCCGUACUUGGUGUUACUGCGAAGGGGGGACGGAGAAGGCUAUGUUGGCCGGGCGACGGUUGUCCCGGUUUAAGCGUGUAGGUGUGUGUUCCAGGUAAAUCCGGUUCACUUUAACACUGAGGCGUGAUGACGAGGCACUACGGUGCUGAAGCAACAAAUGCCCUGCUUCCAGGAAAAGCCUCUAAGCCUCAGGUAACAUCAAAUCGUACCCCAAACCGACACAGGUGGUCAGGUAGAGAAUACCAAGGCGCUUGAGAGAACUCGGGUGAAGGAACUAGGCAAAAUGGUGCCGUAACUUCGGGAGAAGGCACGCUGACACGUAGGUGAAGUGGUUUACCCAUGGAGCUGAAGUCAGUCGAAGAUACCAGCUGGCUGCAACUGUUUAUUAAAAACACAGCACUGUGCAAACACGAAAGUGGACGUAUACGGUGUGACGCCUGCCCGGUGCCGGAAGGUUAAUUGAUGGGGUCAGCGCAAGCGAAGCUCCUGAUCGAAGCCCCGGUAAACGGCGGCCGUAACUAUAACGGUCCUAAGGUAGCGAAAUUCCUUGUCGGGUAAGUUCCGACCUGCACGAAUGGCGUAAUGAUGGCCAGGCUGUCUCCACCCGGGACUCAGUGAAAUUGAACUCGCUGUGAAGAUGCAGUGUACCCGCGGCAAGACGGAAAGACCCCGUGAACCUUUACUAUAGCUUGACACUGAACACUGGUCCUUGAUGUGCAGGAUAGGUGGGAGGCUUUGAAGUGUG
RNAcentral lists this ribosomal RNA (1559 nucleotides) under Salmonella enterica subsp. houtenae. Its description in RNAcentral is "partial 23S ribosomal RNA". It matches the Rfam family "Bacterial large subunit ribosomal RNA", at positions 711 to 2166 of the family's 2925-position model. The record is from RNAcentral. Lineage: Bacteria; Pseudomonadati; Pseudomonadota; Gammaproteobacteria; Enterobacterales; Enterobacteriaceae.